RNAcentral lists this long non-coding RNA (293 nucleotides) under Lotus japonicus. RNAcentral's name for it is "long non-coding RNA (LJAP_LNC001552)". Lineage: Eukaryota; Viridiplantae; Streptophyta; Magnoliopsida; Fabales; Fabaceae. The record is from RNAcentral.
GUGGUAAGGAUAACUUUAGCACCAUUCUGAAUAAGGUGCUUGAUGGUGGGUAUGGCAGCACGGAUCCUGGUAUCAUCGGUGAUGUUCUGGUUGUCAUCAAGAGGGACAUUGAGGUCCGCCCUGACAAACACCUUCUUCCCCUUGAGCUCCGCCGCGGACAAGUCUCCGACACUCUUCUUCGCCAUCGCGGCCACCGCUCUCACUCCCUUCCCUCUCACCGCCGCAACUCUGGAUGCAACAUUCACCGCCAGUAACGGGUCCGCCGCCGAGAAUCCCAGCCGCCUGAGUGGGCG